This 80-nucleotide transfer RNA is filed under the name Colletotrichum chlorophyti. It matches the Rfam family "tRNA". From Rfam's summary of the family: Transfer RNA (tRNA) molecules are approximately 80 nucleotides in length. Their secondary structure includes four short double-helical elements and three loops (D, anti-codon, and T loops). Lineage: Eukaryota; Fungi; Ascomycota; Sordariomycetes; Glomerellales; Glomerellaceae. The record is from Rfam by way of RNAcentral.
GCGAUGAUGGUGUAGUGGUAACAUCUAAGCUUCCCAUUGCAGGUUUGCUUAGGCCGGGGGUUCGAUUCCCCCUCUUCGCA